Molecule: long non-coding RNA, 758 nt
Filed under: Cavia porcellus (domestic guinea pig)
Lineage: Eukaryota; Metazoa; Chordata; Mammalia; Rodentia; Caviidae
Description: lncRNA (ENSCPOG00000040412.1)
Source: RNAcentral
CAGGGGUGGUGGUGGGGCUUCCUGGAGUGCUGCUCGGCACCCGGCUUCCCUCGCGGCGGGGCGGAGGUCGCAGCUCCCCGGCGGAUUCCGGUGUGCCCGCUCCCGCGGAUGCUUGGGCCUGGGAGGUGGAGGAGAGCAGAGGUGCAGAUCUGCUGCCCGAUUCUGGUUAAGGCGUGGCGCCCGCGCGGGCCCUUCGCAAAACGAGGGGUUUUGAAGAAAAAUCGGAAUCAAGUGUUUUUUACGCUGUCGCCUAGGGGCCCAGACCGCGAGAUCGACGGGACGCCAAGCGCAGUGCUGUCCCUUCCCGCCUGGGGGCGCGAGCGUGGGGAGCUGCUCAGCCCAAAGACACUACAGAGAUCAGCUGGGAGGAUAACUCUGCACACUGCACACAUUUGCUGUACAUAAUGAUGACAUUCAUCAUAAUAAAAGAGCUAUUUUAAGUUGAUCCACAUACUACAGCUAAACUGAACUUGGAGGAGCUCCUUCGCUAUCUUUGGCAUGUGUCUCUUGGAAAGCGCCUCCUCCUCAAGACUGCGGGAAGGAAGACUCCGCUGGGGAUGGGAGAGGGAGACCGAGUGGCUGUGCUCCUGGAGUCCGUGUCGGCACACUGAGCAGUCCUGUCAGGAACAGCAAAGCAGACUCAGAACCACAGCAGGGACCAGGUGAGGUGUGCUUGGAUGUUAUAGUUGAUGAUACACAGGCACAUUUUUUUUAAGUUCUUGAAUUUGCUUAUUUAAUGGCUUCACUGAACAUUCUUA